This 5361-nucleotide long non-coding RNA is filed under the name Sus scrofa (pig). RNAcentral's name for it is "lncRNA (ENSSSCG00000059866.1)". Lineage: Eukaryota; Metazoa; Chordata; Mammalia; Artiodactyla; Suidae. The record is from RNAcentral.
UUUUUUUUUUUUUUUUAAGCCCUCAUUGUAACAUUAAAUUCUGCCCCUUCUCUCCACUUCCCUUUGCCUCACCCCACCCCCAUCCCACUUAUCAGGAUGAAGGAGCAGCAUGCUGCUUUGCUUUGCAUAUGUCAGAGUAGAUGGGAUACAAGGAUGAUUUCAGUUUCUGCAGAGGUUCCCAUUUCUUGUUGUAACAUCAUGGUUUGUGAAUAAUGACACUGCCCAGGCCACAGGUUACCCAGCCGACUGAUCACAGACUUAGAACAACCGGACUUGAAUCACGCCUGCAGUCUUGCCCUCACCUGAGCCAUGCCUGUGUUCACGGAGGGCUGAGGUAUGUGUUUGUGAAAUGGCUGGGGUUCAAGGAAAGGAAGCAUUAAGCUUCGUAGUUGCAGGGCUCUUGCUUAGAUUCUUUGAGAGUGUAGACACAUAGAAACAGAUAGCUGGACUGGGAUUAGCUCUGAAAAGCUAUCUUUAGUUGGAGGGCGGGCUCAGAACUGAGGUCUUUGACCUUGCCUUACAUGGUUCUUGCCCUUACAUCAGCUUGACUUGGUUUCCUUUUAAAACCCACUUUCCUGAGGGGUCACUCCAUGUUUACAGAACCAGCACCCCCCCCCCCCAACCUCUCUCAGAGAGUGUUGGAAUCCUCCACUCUUCUCCCCUCUAACAGCUCAGCCUAGUCCAGGCCAAUUCAAGGGAACUUUCUUCAGUAUCUACUCUGUGCAAGGCGCUGCCAGACUCUGUGAAUGGCACCAAGAUGGACAGCCAAAUCACCAAGACUUCUCAUUCUUGGAUUAUAUCUUUUAAGAAAUCCGUGCCCAGAUGCUGUCUCCCUGCAUGUUCAGUUACUCACUGGUAUGUUGAUAGCCACUUAUCUGAGCCUGGCCCUGGGAUCCACACUGCAUAGAGAGCCAUGAGUGGAACAGACAUGGCACCCUGGUUUUAGGGCAUUCUCUUUUGCCUAAGUGUCUGUGAUAGCCUCUUUUGCAUGCUUGGCCACUUCCCUGAUCUAUUCCCCACAUCACCACUAAGUAUUUCUGAAAAGCUGAGAGGAUGCUGCAUUGCUUCAGGAUGAGGUUUCCCUUAGUGCCUGCUGUUCUCACCUCUUUACCCACCCUGUUGCUCCUCAAGAGCCUCCAGUGCAGCGAGGCUGGUCCAUUUGCUGUUGCCUAAACACGUCUCACAUACCCCCGUUGGAGCCUCUGUUCCUGCCAGCCCCUCUCCACGGGCCCACAUCAGAGACACCUAACAAGUUCUGCACAAAGAGGUCUCAGCUCAUUAUCAUCUCCCCUUCCUCUAGAAACACAGCAUGGGAAAGGGGUGCCCAGAAAUUGGGCCAAUUCCUGAAAAGUAAUGGUUUUUAAUUUUGGUGUUUGCACUGAUAAUCCAAUUCAAAUCCUAUGCCCCAGUCCCAGAAGAAUACAGACAUGCAAAUAUGUGAAAUUUUACAUGUAAGUUCAGGAGACUUAGAGACAUUCUGAAGUGAUCCAUGGAUUCCUUGAGGGGUUCAUGGACUGCAGUUGAAGAAAGCCUUCUUCUAAAGGGUUUUCACAAGUUCCUGUUGUUGGUGUUCUUUCUUGCCUUUACCACAGCCACAGGGGAGACUAAUUGCAAGCCAAAGGAAUCUCUGUUGUUAUCCAGUGGAGAAUGUGCUGAGUGACAGGGCAGGAAGAAGAGGUGUCAUAUUAAUUGAGAACUUAUCUUUGUUUUGACAAGUGUGUCAUUUUUUGCAAGAGAUAGGGUUUUGUUGUCAUCGUCAUUGUUGUCAUCUACCUUCUAACACUCCAAAAGGUUGAUUUCAAAAAAAAAAAAAUAUGAGUUUAGGACCAGGGGAGCUUCUGCAUGGAUAGGCUGACCAACUUGGGGCUUAAGAUGAGAGAGAAGAGGCAGGAUUUUUCCCUACAGGAGAAAAUUCUGCACAAUCAGGUUUUUCUGCAUUAGUUAAUUAAUUACUUCCUAGAACAAUUGUUGAGUAUAUUUUCAGUGAAAGGAUGGUGCCUUUGUUGAUAGAGAACUACUCAGGUUCUUCUUUCUCCUCCCCCUCCUCCUUCUUCCUCCUCCCUCCUCCCUCUCUUCCUUCUCCUCCUCUUCCUCCUCCUCUUCUUCUCCUUCUUCCUCCUCUUCCCUCUCCCUUUCCUUCUUCUUCUUCCUCUUCCUCUCCUUCUCCUUCUUCUUUUCUUUUCUUUUAUAGGGCGAAGCACUUUUGUUGCUCCUGGCUAUGCCCCAUACCCUUUGUUCUCCUUUAUGUGCAGUUCUGUUUAAGAUUAACAAGGGCUGAUGAAAGUACAUCCGGUGACAAAUACUUCUUGAGUCUAAAUGCUGAUCUCCAGCAACCCAACUUGAGCAGGUCCAGGAUCAAUUGCCUGUGGCCGUGGAGUGCUUGACCUUUUUCCACUUGCUUUUGGUGGUCUGGAUGCCACUUUUGAGGUUCCAAAGGAUUCCCUUGGUGGGGAAUCCCUCUUGCCUGCAGAACACUUGCUAGUGCCAGGACUAAAUGCAAACAUGGGCCUUUCCUCAUCUAAUUUCCUUUCUAGAAAUUUAGGCUUUUAGUCACUGACUUUAAAGAAUAUCUUAAAGAUAUUUGAAGUUCUUUAACCUUUAAGACAACUGGAACCAGCAACAUAUUGGCCUUGCCCCUUGGAGAAGGUUACAAAGAAUACUGACAAAUAGCAUAAAAGAAAGCCACUCACUGUUUUGGGGCUGACAAUGUGACCUCCCCAACCAUUCUGGCUCUCAUCAAAGCAGGGAACUCAUCCCCAGACCAAAACUCUCUGAAACUUAUGCUCAUGGCUAGAUCAUUAGGAUGCUCAAAUUGCAAGAGGAUUAUUGCCCCUAACUGUCAAAUUUGUAGGCAAAUAAGGGGGACGGUUGCAAUAAUCAAACAGUGGCUUUUGGAUGUGGUCCAACCAGCACCAACACUCCUGAUCAUAUCUGUGGGGAAACAAGUUAUCUAGAGCAAAAGAUUGGUACAGUACCUUGGUGUUCCAUUCACAGUGAAAUAAUUUCAGCAAUGAACUUGAUGGCCUUCUUGAAGAUUUUUCAAUUGCUGUUAUCCUUAAUUACAGCUUUAAAGAUUUUGAGACAAUUCACUAACUAUAGAGCAAUAUAUAUUUACGAUGAUAUUUCACUUUGUGAAAAGUAGUCUAAAUAUGACUAAUUCAGCUCCCACUCUCACUGGCAAGCAUCCCCCCCUCCCUGGUUUUUUCUUUUUUUUUUCUUUUGGCUCUAGAAUAGAGUGCUUUCUAUUUAUUAGUAAAGUUGAAACCUUUUUUCUUCUUUAGUAUUAAAAAAAUUACCCCAUGGCUUUGAAAACAAUAGAAUUCAGUGCCUGAAUUGCCAAGUUAACCAGUAGUGGCUACAUAGAUAGCAGCAGGAAUGUAAUAUAAUUGGAGGCUGGAAAAGAGUAAUUCUUGGGGUACUUGCUACCCCUCUCUUCUUAAAAAAACAGCAAUCCUUGGACUUUUUAAUAGUUGUUUGCAGUUGGAAACAUUCUCUCAUGUUUGCUUCUCUCCCCCAACUAGAGAUCACAUUGGACUUUAUUAAAACAUCUACCAUGUCCAAAUGAUUGUAUUUUUAUCUUCAGCAAAUUAUAUCUGAAAUCUUUUGCAGCAAUAAGACUAAAGAUGAGGCUCAAAUUUUUGGAGGGAUCUCUGCUUCAGUAGGGGCAACGUGUUUGUGUUACUUCUGUCAAAAUGGUUUUACCUCAAAUAAUCCAUUUCAUGGGAUCAUGCUUACUGUAAACAUAUGUUUUUCCCAGCACCCCGUGUCCGGCUGAGUGUCUGACAACUGCAGCGUUGAUGAGGGUGAUGGCUCCUCCAUAGUAGCGGUUGAAAAGAUGUGGGUCUGAGUACUUUAUCGGGAGGUAUUUGAAUUUCACUGAGUGGGAGGAGAGAAGGAAAGAGAACAGAUACUGGCUUCGAGCAACCAUGUGGUAUGGCUGUAUUAGAGAUGUGUCGGCACGCUGGAAAUUUUCUAGGUAGUGGCAUCUUACUAAAACAAUGCAGAUGACUACAGGUUUAAAUAAAAAACAAAGGCCAUCUGUAGGGAAGGCUUGUCUGUGAAUAUCCCAGUGGCUGGUGCAGCAAGCAUUGGAGAAAUGUUGAGCAUUGCCCUGGUUUCUGGCUUGUUCUCCUGAGCUGUCCCAUCUGAGGCUGGGCCUGGGCACAAGAGGCGUAGCCCCAGGGUGUCCACUCCUUUGAUUCUGGAACUUACUUCUGGUCUCUCAAAAACGUUUGUGGCAUAUAGUUUCCAUUUUAUAAUAUACUAUGUAAAGAAUGUAUUUGUAUAUUUGUUUUAUAGAAACUGUCAGUGUUUGGAGACACGCCAGAUCAUCCUUAUGUAGGCAAGUGGUCUCCAAACCUUUGUAAAACUUUCUCAGCAUGCCCUUCAGCGUAUUUAUUUAUAAACACAUACACACACUGCUCUAUUGAUAUGUUAUGAACGUUAAAAACCAUAGAAAACAUAGAAAUUUACAAAGAAUUUUCUCCUCGACAAUAGAGUUUAGAGAAUGGGGCAAGGAAGACUUAAAAGUUGACACCUAGAAAACUGGUUAGUUAACGAAUGUGUGUGUAACAUUGGCGGGAAAGUGGAUGUAAAAUAGGCAUGGACGCAUGAUUUUAGGUCAAGGUCAUUCAUUCAUUCAUUCUUACAAUACAUUUUUGGUUGGGGAAGAGAAGAAUGGCUAAUUAGGUAUGAUCUUUACAAGAGCUCUUUUAAAUUCUGUUUUGGGGACCACUUGAUCUAGAACGUCUUGUACAUUCCUGAACAAUUACUCAGUACCUUGACUUAGCAAAACCAGAAAAGAAAGGAAGGGAAAAGGACCUCAACAAUGCAGAUGCUGACUCUGUUGCCUGAGAAUUUCUGAAUCUGAAAGUCCUGCUAAGCAUCAUCUCACUGAUUGUGCGUCUUUCUUCUCUUUGUUUAUAAUAUCCCAUCUCUAAAUGUGUGGAAGAUGUAGAGGUGUAUUUUCCAGAUCUCUGAGAUGGGAAGGACCAAUGUUAGUGUAAUUCGAACCCACGUUUCAGCGGCUUGGGGGCUGAUGGGUGGACACUGCCUGCAAACAUUUACCUGCACCAUCUGUUUUGCAAACACAAUGAUGAGCAUCUUGCUGAACUUUGAGGGCCUCCAUGUGGAGGCGGCAUUCCCAGUGUUUAUUUCUGGACCUCUGAGUUACUUUAGCACAGUUAUUGUUCGUAGUUUAUAAAGCCAUAUCUAAACUUGUACACUUGAUUGUAAGAUAGAUUUGAAUUGUGCACUAUGUUGAUUACUGUAUAUAAAUGUGGAAAUUCUGUAUAUUUGGUCUUAAUGCUGUAUGUAUUUGAUGUGUAAAUGAUAACUAAUGGAUAUGAAAUAGCUUGCUGU